Molecule: transfer RNA, 76 nt
Filed under: Caudoviricetes sp.
Lineage: Duplodnaviria; Heunggongvirae; Uroviricota; Caudoviricetes
Description: tRNA-Asn
Rfam family: tRNA
About the family: Transfer RNA (tRNA) molecules are approximately 80 nucleotides in length. Their secondary structure includes four short double-helical elements and three loops (D, anti-codon, and T loops).
Source: RNAcentral
UGGGGAUUAGCUCAGUUGGUAGAGCGUUUGUCUGUUAAACAAAAUGUCAUUGGUUCAAACCCAAUAUCCCCAGCCA